UGGGGAAUCUUAGACAAUGGGGGCAACCCUGAUCUAGCCAUGCCGCGUGAGUGAUGAAGGCCCUAGGGUUGUAAAGCUCUUUCAGCUGGGAAGAUAAUGACGGUACCAGCAGAAGAAGCCCCGGCUAACUCCGUGCCAGCAGCCGCGGUAAUACGGAGGGGGCUAGCGUUGUUCGGAAUUACUGGGCGUAAAGCGCACGUAGGCGGAUUGGAAAGUUGGGGGUGAAAUCCCGGGGCUCAACCCCGGAACUGCCUCCAAAACUAUCAGUCUGGAGUUCGAGAGAGGUGAGUGGAAUUCCGAGUGUAGAGGUGAAAUUCGUAGAUAUUCGGAGGAACACCAGUGGCGAAGGCGGCUCACUGGCUCGAUACUGACGCUGAGGUGCGAAAGCGUGGGGAGCAAACAGG
Molecule: ribosomal RNA, 404 nt
Filed under: uncultured bacterium
Lineage: Bacteria
Description: bacterial SSU rRNA
Rfam family: Bacterial small subunit ribosomal RNA
Source: RNAcentral